UUCCCCCAGUAACGGCGAGUGAAGCGGGAAGAGCUCAAGUUUGAAAUCCAGCGUCUGGCGCCGGCGCCGGAGUUGUAACCUAGAGGUGCGGUUCGCCCGCCGUUGGGGCUGCGGCUAAGUCCGAUUUGAAAAGGGCACCAAGGAGGGUGGCAGUCCCGUUCGUGCCGUAGCCCCUUCGUCGAUGUGGCCCGCUUCCGACGAGUCGAGUUGCUUGGGAUUGCAGCUCAAAGUGGGUGGUAAACUCCAUCCAAAGCUAAACACGCGUGGGAGACCGAUAGCGAACAAGUACCGUGAGGGAAAGAUGCAAAGAACUUUGAAAAGAGAGUCAAAGAGUGCCUGAAAUUGCUGAGAGGGAAGCGAAGGAAAGUAGUGUCGACCGAGGGGAUCUUGCACACGGAGAACGGUCCCCUGGGGCCCUCCCCGUUAUCCCCCGCGCUGUCAGGGGCGGGUGCGGCCAAGUCGGUGGCUGCGGCAUCAUUAAGUACAGGUAUUCCGAGGUAACAGCCGGUUAAAUGCUAUGAGUCCCUAUGUAUGGCGCCCCGCCCGCGGCCGUCCCUGACGAAAUGUUUUUCUUUACCCCGUCUUGA
RNAcentral lists this ribosomal RNA (587 nucleotides) under Lobophora etoileae. Its description in RNAcentral is "partial 26S large subunit ribosomal RNA". It matches the Rfam family "Eukaryotic large subunit ribosomal RNA", at positions 75 to 657 of the family's 3401-position model. The record is from RNAcentral. Lineage: Eukaryota; Phaeophyceae; Dictyotales; Dictyotaceae.